GGGGGUGCACCGGUUUCGACUGGUACGGUUCGGGAUACCGGCUGCAGGUGGAGUGCCGAUCUCCUGAUUCGGCAAAAAAUUUAACUGCCAAUAACGACAGUUACGAUUUCGCAUUAGCGGCAUAAUCGCGUGGAACCGUUCCGCCGCUCUGAGGAACGUAUUCCGCGUCGCAAUCAGGGCUGGUCAAUCUUCGGUUCUGGACGAAGUGCGAUAAGAUAAUCCCGGAAUACGGAUUUGCCGCGCGCCGCGCAGCCAAGCAGAUCCCGACAAUAACAAUGCGCAGCUAAACCUGUAGAGGCUUGUAUUUCGCGUAUUAGGACGCGAGUUCGAUUCUCGCCACCUCCAA
This 346-nucleotide transfer-messenger RNA is filed under the name Treponema sp. It matches the Rfam family "transfer-messenger RNA". Rfam says of the family: Bacterial tmRNA, also known as 10Sa RNA or SsrA, is named for its dual tRNA and mRNA-like properties. Its role is to liberate the mRNA from a stalled ribosome. Lineage: Bacteria; Pseudomonadati; Spirochaetota; Spirochaetia; Treponematales; Treponemataceae. The record is from RNAcentral.